Molecule: ribosomal RNA, 1176 nt
Filed under: Alcaligenes aquatilis
Lineage: Bacteria; Pseudomonadati; Pseudomonadota; Betaproteobacteria; Burkholderiales; Alcaligenaceae
Description: bacterial SSU rRNA
Rfam family: Bacterial small subunit ribosomal RNA
Source: RNAcentral
GCUUUUACAUGCAGUCGAGCGGCAGCACGAGAGAGCUUGCUCUCUUGGUGGCGAGUGGCGGACGGGUGAGUAAUAUAUCGGAACGUGCCCAGUAGCGGGGGAUAACUACUCGAAAGAGUGGCUAAUACCGCAUACGCCCUACGGGGGAAAGGGGGGGAUUCUUCGGAACCUCUCACUAUUGGAGCGGCCGAUAUCGGAUUAGCUAGUUGGUGGGGUAAAGGCUCACCAAGGCAACGAUCCGUAGCUGGUUUGAGAGGACGACCAGCCACACUGGGACUGAGACACGGCCCAGACUCCUACGGGAGGCAGCAGUGGGGAAUUUUGGACAAUGGGGGAAACCCUGAUCCAGCCAUCCCGCGUGUAUGAUGAAGGCCUUCGGGUUGUAAAGUACUUUUGGCAGAGAAGAAAAGGUAUCCCCUAAUACGGGAUACUGCUGACGGUAUCUGCAGAAUAAGCACCGGCUAACUACGUGCCAGCAGCCGCGGUAAUACGUAGGGUGCAAGCGUUAAUCGGAAUUACUGGGCGUAAAGCGUGUGUAGGCGGUUCGGAAAGAAAGAUGUGAAAUCCCAGGGCUCAACCUUGGAACUGCAUUUUUAACUGCCGAGCUAGAGUAUGUCAGAGGGGGGUAGAAUUCCACGUGUAGCAGUGAAAUGCGUAGAUAUGUGGAGGAAUACCGAUGGCGAAGGCAGCCCCCUGGGAUAAUACUGACGCUCAGACACGAAAGCGUGGGGAGCAAACAGGAUUAGAUACCCUGGUAGUCCACGCCCUAAACGAUGUCAACUAGCUGUUGGGGCCGUUAGGCCUUACUAGCGCAGCUAACGCGUGAAGUUGACCGCCUGGGGAGUACGGUCGCAAGAUUAAAACUCAAAGGAAUUGACGGGGACCCGCACAGCGGUGGAUGAUGUGGAUUAAUUCGAUGCAACGCGAAAAACCCUUACCUACCCUUGACAUGUCUGGAAUGCCGAAGAGAUUUGGCAGUGCUCGCAAGAACAACCGAAACACAGGUGCUGCAUGGCUGUCCGUCACUUCGUGGUCUUGAGACGUUGAGAUUAAGUCCCGCAACGCACGCGCACCCUUGUCAUUUGUUUUGCUUACGCUAGAACCCCUUCUAUUGAGACUGCCUGAUUGACCAACCGGGAGGCAUGUGCGGGAUGACGUCGAGGUCCUUCAUGCCCC